ACGGGAGGCAGCAGUGGGGAAUAUUGCACAAUGGGCGCAAGCCUGAUGCAGCGACGCCGCGUGAGGGAUGACGGCCUUCGGGUUGUAAACCUCUUUCAGUAGGGAAGAAGCGUAAGUGACGGUACCUGCAGAAGAAGCGCCGGCUAACUACGUGCCAGCAGCCGCGGUAAUACGUAGGGCGCAAGCGUUAUCCGGAAUUAUUGGGCGUAAAGAGCUCGUAGGCGGUUUGUCGCGUCUGCCGUGAAAGUCCGGGGCUCAACUCCGGAUCUGCGGUGGGUACGGGCAGACUAGAGUGAUGUAGGGGAGACUGGAAUUCCUGGUGUAGCGGUGAAAUGCGCAGAUAUCAGGAGGAACACCGAUGGCGAAGGCAGGUCUCUGGGCAUUAACUGACGCUGAGGAGCGAAAGCAUGGGGAGCGAACAGGAUUAGAUACCCUGGUAGUCCAUGCCGUAAACGUUGGGCACUAGGUGUGGGGGACAUUCCACGUUUUCCGCGCCGUAGCUAACGCAUUAAGUGCCCCGCCUGGGGAGUACGGCCGCAAGGCUAAAACUCAAAGGAAUUGACGGGGGCCCGCACAAGCGGCGGAGCAUGCGGAUUAAUUCGAUGCAACGCGAAGAACCUUACCAAGGCUUGACAUGAACCGGAAAGACCUGGAAACAGGUGCCCCGCUUGCGGUCGGUUUACAGGUGGUGCAUGGUUGUCGUCAGCUCGUGUCGUGAGAUGUUGGGUUAAGUCCCGCAACGAGCGCAACCCUCGUUCUAUGUUGCCAGCACGUGAUGGUGGGGACUCAUAGGAGACUGCCGGGGUCAACUCGGAGGAAGGUGGGGACGACGUCAAAUCAUCAUGCCCCUUAUGUCUUGGGCUUCACGCAUGCUACAAUGGCCGGUACAAAGGGUUGCGAUACUGUGAGGUGGAGCUAAUCCCAAAAAGCCGGUCUCAGUUCGGAUUGGGGUCUGCAACUCGACCCCAUGAAGUCGGAGUCGCUAGUAAUCGCAGAUCAGCAACGCUGCGGUGAAUACGUUCCCGGGCCUUGUACACACCGCCCGUCAAGUCACGAAAGUUGGUAACACCCGAAGCCGGUGGCCUAACCCCUUUGUGGGAGGGAGC
Molecule: ribosomal RNA, 1106 nt
Filed under: Pseudarthrobacter siccitolerans
Lineage: Bacteria; Bacillati; Actinomycetota; Actinomycetes; Micrococcales; Micrococcaceae
Description: bacterial SSU rRNA
Rfam family: Bacterial small subunit ribosomal RNA
Source: RNAcentral